Long non-coding RNA from Ipomoea nil (Japanese morning glory), 148 nucleotides. RefSeq lists it as uncharacterized. The transcript is spliced from 3 exons. The record is from RefSeq and is a predicted model, not a curated record. NCBI's taxonomy places the organism in Eukaryota, Viridiplantae, Streptophyta, Magnoliopsida, Solanales, Convolvulaceae.
UGGUUAAGAAAGAAAGAAUAAUAAAAGUUUGAAGUUUGUUUUGAAAGAUGUACUCAACCCCACCACUUUAGAAGUUUGUUUUGUCCUUAAGUCUUGUUUGCUCCCUAGUCCAUAGAUGUCAUAUCUCUUCUAGUCCCAAUUGUGAAUA